RNAcentral lists this ribosomal RNA (554 nucleotides) under uncultured bacterium. RNAcentral's name for it is "bacterial SSU rRNA". It matches the Rfam family "Bacterial small subunit ribosomal RNA", at positions 339 to 906 of the family's 1533-position model. The record is from RNAcentral.
CUACGGGAGGCAGCAGUGGGGAAUUUUCCGCAAUGGGCGAAAGCCUGACGGAGCAAUACCGCGUGAGGGAAGACGGCCUAUGGGUUGUAAACCUCUUUUUUCAGGGAGGAAUAACUGACGUGUACCUGAAGAAUAAGCAUCGGCUAACUCCGUGCCAGCAGCCGCGGUAAGACGGAGGAUGCAAGUGUUAUCCGGAAUCACUGGGCGUAAAGCGUCUGUAGGUGGUUAAACAAGUCAACUGUUAAAUCUUGAGGCUCAACUUCAAAAUCGCAGUCGAAACUGUUUGACUAGAGUAUAGUAGGGGUAAAGGGAAUUUCCAGUGGAGCGGUGAAAUGCGUAGAUAUUGGAAAGAACACCGAUGGCGAAGGCACUUUACUGGGCUAUUACUGACACUCAGAGACGAAAGCUAGGGUAGCAAAUGGGAUUAGAUACCCCAGUAGUCCUAGCCGUAAACAAUGGAUACUAGAUGUUGAACAGAUCGACCUGUGCAGUAUCAAAGCUAACGCGUUAAGUAUCCCGCCUGGGAAGUAUGCUCGCAAGAGUGAAACUCAAAG